GAUUAUGGCUCAGGAUGAACGCUAGCUACAGGCUUAACACAUGCAAGUCGAGGGGCAGCAUGAGAUUAGCUUGCUAAUCUUGAUGGCGACCGGCGCACGGGUGAGUAACGCGUAUCCAACCUUCCCCUUAGUAGGGCAUAGCCCGGCGAAAGUCGGAUUAAUACCCUAUGUUCUUCGUAGAGGACAUCUGAAAUGAAGCAAAGACUUGUCGCUAAGGGAUGGGGAUGCGUCUGAUUAGGUAGUCGGCGGGGUAACGGCCCACCGAGCCUGCGAUCAGUAGGGGUUCUGAGAGGAAGGUCCCCCACAUUGGAACUGAGACACGGUCCAAACUCCUACGGGAGGCAGCAGUGAGGAAUAUUGGUCAAUGGGCGCGAGCCUGAACCAGCCAAGUAGCGUGCAAGGAUGACGGCCCUAUGGGUUGUAAACUGCUUUUAUGCGGGGAUAAAGUGCACCACGUGUGGUGUUUUGUAGGUACCGCAUGAAUAAGGACCGGCUAAUUCCGUGCCAGCAGCGGC
This 515-nucleotide ribosomal RNA is filed under the name uncultured bacterium. Its description in RNAcentral is "bacterial SSU rRNA". It matches the Rfam family "Bacterial small subunit ribosomal RNA", at positions 15 to 518 of the family's 1533-position model. The record is from RNAcentral.